RNAcentral lists this ribosomal RNA (457 nucleotides) under uncultured bacterium. Its description in RNAcentral is "partial 16S ribosomal RNA". It matches the Rfam family "Bacterial small subunit ribosomal RNA", at positions 28 to 523 of the family's 1533-position model. The record is from RNAcentral.
GAUGAACGCUGGCGGCGUGCCUAAUACAUGCAAGUCGUACGGAAAGGCCCUUCGGGGUACUCGAGUGGCGGACGGCUGAGUAACGCGUGGGAACGUGCCCCAAAGCGAGGGAUAACGCACCGAAAGGUGUGCUAAUACCGCAUAUGGUCUUCGGAUUAAAGCUUCGGCGCUGUGGGAGCGGCCCGCGUACGAUUAGAUAGUUGGCGAGGUAAUGGCUCACCAAGUCGACGAUCGUUAGCCGGUCUGAGAGGAUGAUCAGCCAGACUGGGACUGAGACACGGCCCAGACUCCUACGGGAGGCAGCAGUAAGGAAUCUUCCACAAUGGGGGCAACCCUGAUGGAGCAACGCCGCGUGCAGGAUGAAGGUUUUCGGAUCGUAAACUGCUUUUAUAAGUGAAGAAUAUGACGGUAACUUAUGAAUAAGGAUCGGCUAACUACGUGCCAGCCGCCGCCGUAA